UACGUAGGUGGCGAGCGUUGUCCGGAUUUACUGGGCGUAAAGAGCGCGCAGGCGGUCGAUCAAGUCGAGUGUGAAAGCCCCCGGCUCAACUGGGGAGGGUCAUUCGAUACUGAUCGACUCGAAGGCAGGAGAGGGUAGUGGAAUUCCCGGUGUAGUGGUGAAAUGCGUAGAUAUCGGGAGGAACACCAGUGGCGAAGGCGACUACCUGGCCUGUUCUUGACGCUGAGGCGCGAAAGCUAGGGGAGCAAACGGG
Molecule: ribosomal RNA, 253 nt
Filed under: uncultured bacterium
Lineage: Bacteria
Description: partial 16S ribosomal RNA
Rfam family: Bacterial small subunit ribosomal RNA
Source: RNAcentral